UUGAAGAGUUUUAUCUGUUUCCUUUAACUGUUUGUAUUUUCUUGGCAUUGUUUAGGGGAUUUUUUUCAUUUCCUUCAAUUGUUUGUUUGCAUUUUCCAGGAUUUCUUAAAGGGACUUACUCAUUUUCUCUUCAAGGAUUUCCAUCAUGUUCAUUUAGUUGGUUUUAAGGUCUCUUUCCUGUGCUCCAGCUGUGUUGGAAGAUCCCAGGUCUGCUUCAGUAGCUGGGCUCUUACAGUGACCUCUAGACAUCUCAGUUUGAGGGAAUGCCUUCUGGUGGAGAGCCUGGGAUGCAGUGGAAAGUAGUGAAAGGAGGUCCUUCGUCUCCAGUCCUGCACAUCAGUUUCUACAAUCAGUGGCUUCAACUUUUUUCUAUCUUCUGUUUGCUUGAGACCCCAUCCCUUUGUCUCACAGCUGUCCUCAUGCAACAACAGUACAUCAGCACAAGGUGUUCCUAAAUUGCCGGGGUCUUCCUUGUAUGAUGCACUGGAGGUGUCAACGGUUGGUGCGUUUGAGGAACACCACUCUUUAAAGCCUAUGAAAAGGAAGAGGAAACGUUGCUUUUGUUAUUGGGAAACCUCCAAUAAAAUUAAAAAUGC
Molecule: non-coding RNA, 596 nt
Organism: Cricetulus griseus (Chinese hamster)
Lineage: Eukaryota; Metazoa; Chordata; Mammalia; Rodentia; Cricetidae
Source: RefSeq, a predicted model, not a curated record